GGGCUACAGCUCAGUGGUAGAACAGCUGCUUUGCAUGCAGAAGGCCCCAGGUUCAAUCCCUGGCAUCUCCA
Non-coding RNA from Podarcis lilfordi (Lilford's wall lizard), 71 nucleotides. NCBI's taxonomy places the organism in Eukaryota, Metazoa, Chordata, Lepidosauria, Squamata, Lacertidae. The record is from the annotation of a GenBank genome assembly.